This is a long non-coding RNA of Rosa rugosa (rugosa rose), 311 nucleotides long. RefSeq lists it as uncharacterized. The transcript is spliced from 3 exons. NCBI's taxonomy places the organism in Eukaryota, Viridiplantae, Streptophyta, Magnoliopsida, Rosales, Rosaceae. The record is from RefSeq and is a predicted model, not a curated record.
AAGUUGGGAUUGAUGGGUAGAAAGAACUAGGUUUUGGAGGUGGCAGCAGGGGGAAUACCCAACAGGUUCUCUCAUUGAUUUCAAGCCAGAUUUUCCAGCAACCAACAGCAGAAAAGAGAGUAAAGGCUUCGAGACUCAACAGAAAUUAUGAUGAUUGAGAAUGAGAAGAAGAUCUCCCCUCGACACAGAAUGCUAAAGAAAUGUAUUGAGGUGUUAUGGGACUCUCUUGAUGCCAAAAGAAAAGCAAAGUUGGAAAAUGGGCUAGAUUAUGACCUUGAGAAGUUGAUGAUAUUGACAAACUGCAACCCUAG